RNAcentral lists this ribosomal RNA (253 nucleotides) under uncultured bacterium. Its description in RNAcentral is "partial 16S ribosomal RNA". It matches the Rfam family "Bacterial small subunit ribosomal RNA", at positions 524 to 776 of the family's 1533-position model. The record is from RNAcentral.
UACGUAGGGUGCAAGCGUUGUCCGGAAUUAUUGGGCGUAAAGAGCUCGUAGGCGGUUUGUUGCGUCGGCUGUGAAAUCCCGAGGCUCAACCUCGGGUCUGCAGUCGAUACGAGCAAACUAGAGUGUUGCAGGGGAGACUGGAAUUCCUGGUGUAGCGGUGAAAUGCGCAGAUAUCAGGAGGAACACCGGUGGCGAAGGCGGGUCUCUGGGCAUUAACUGACGCUGAGGAGCGAAAGCAUGGGGAGCGAACAGG